AACGUAGGGGGCUAGCGUUGUCCGGAAUUACUGGGCGUAAAGCGCACGCAGGCGGUCUGGAAAGCGGUGGGUGCAAUCUCGAGGCUCAACCUCGAAACUGCUCGCCGAACUACCAGACUUGAGCACGGGAGAGGACAGUGGAAUUCCCGGUGUAGCGGUGGAAUGCGUAAAUAUCGGGAGGAACACCAGUGGCGAAGGCUGCUGUCUGGAACGUUGCUGACGCUGAGGUGCGAAAGCCAGGGGAGCGAACGGGAUUAGAUACC
Molecule: ribosomal RNA, 263 nt
Filed under: uncultured bacterium
Lineage: Bacteria
Description: partial 16S ribosomal RNA
Rfam family: Bacterial small subunit ribosomal RNA
Source: RNAcentral